AACGAACGCUGGCGGCAGGCUUAACACAUGCAAGUCGAGCGCCCCGCAAGGGGCGCGGCAGCCGGGUGAGUAACGCGUGGGAACGUACCUUUUGGUUCGGAACAACUCCGGGAAACUGGAGCUAAUACCGGAUAAGCCCUAACGGGGAAAGAUUUAUCGCCGAAAGAUCGGCCCGCGUCUGAUUAGCUAGUUGGUGAGGUAACGGCUCACCAAGGCGACGAUCAGUAGCUGGUCUGAGAGGAUGAUCAGCCACACUGGGACUGAGACACGGCCCAGACUCCUACGGGAGGCAGCAGUGGGGAAUAUUGGACAAUGGGCGCAAGCCUGAUCCAGCCAUGCCGCGUGAGUGAUGAAGGCCUUAGGGUUGUAAAGCUCUUUUGUCCGGGAAGAUAAUGACUGUACCGGAAGAAUAAGCCCCGGCUAACUUCGUG
Molecule: ribosomal RNA, 431 nt
Filed under: uncultured bacterium
Lineage: Bacteria
Description: partial 16S ribosomal RNA
Rfam family: Bacterial small subunit ribosomal RNA
Source: RNAcentral